CCAAAGUCAACACAAUUGGAUGUUGAACUUUUUUGGACGGUCCAGAUGCUCUCUCACCACUGUGUCUCUGCUUCUUCCAGUGCGGUGGAGUGAGGAGCUCGGAGUCAGAGGAGCAGAAGUGCAGGAGGUCAGGAAGAUGGACUGUGGACCAGGUUUUGGAGCACACGUUUGGAGCAAGGACCUGAUGUGGUGUGUGAUAGGCUGGAAGAGACCGGACGAAGACGUAUGAAGCAGCUGCUGAUGAAAACCAAACACCCGGCUGAAAGGCUGCGGCCGUGUCAUCUGUAACAGUCGGUGUAUGGGCGGUGGAUGUUGACGGCAGCUCCAGAGCGCCUUUCUUCCACCGUGGUCCUCAGCAGCAGAGACAGCAACGUGACAGACGUGUCUUUUUCUCCUCCUGCCAACGUUCAAACGGCCAUAAUGUGCGCGGCAUCAAUCACAGUCUAUUCUUCAUUCACAAAGCUGGGGGAGAGGAUCAAAAGCAGCCAGCCACCAGUGAAUCAAAUCAUGAAAGCCAAGAGCGGCCUUCUGACAUCCCACCCAGCGGUAAGUCCCUGACUCACACACAGCACAGCAUCCAGAAGAGACAAUCUUUGAACUUGGUGUCCUGAAACUCUGCUGCUGAGAGCAGGGGUGUGACCACUUAACUUAGAACAGACAGCUGUGAAGAAGUUCAACCUCUGCUUCAACGCUUUUUUUCCCCCUUCUUUCUUUUUUUCCUACCAAUUUGAUAAUAACACUGGUCUGAACCAGGGCUGAUUCUAACGACAAAGAGAAGGUUGGCUGACUUGGUCCUCUGUAAAUUCAGCUCUGAUCCUUCCGUCCCAUUAGCAUCUGUAAGUCAGUGCCGUUACCUCAAAAGGGUUUCCUUUCAUCUGACUCUCUCCAGAAAAAAUAUCCAAUGUUUAACAUUCAUAUUUUCA
This is a long non-coding RNA of Cynoglossus semilaevis (tongue sole), 923 nucleotides long. RefSeq lists it as uncharacterized. The record is from RefSeq and is a predicted model, not a curated record. The transcript is spliced from 3 exons. NCBI's taxonomy places the organism in Eukaryota, Metazoa, Chordata, Actinopteri, Pleuronectiformes, Cynoglossidae.